Molecule: long non-coding RNA, 6479 nt
Organism: Nyctereutes procyonoides (raccoon dog)
Lineage: Eukaryota; Metazoa; Chordata; Mammalia; Carnivora; Canidae
Exons: 7
Source: RefSeq, a predicted model, not a curated record
AUGUCUCAAACACAGUGUCCCUGCUGAGGCCCAGCCCUCCAACUUGCUCAGGAUGAUCUGGAUGUUCACGGAUUCCUUUUGAGUUGAAAGAAACAGAUGCAGCCAGGUCCUGCCCUGCAAUGGAAGGUUCUGCAAUGGAAGGGCAUCGUUGCCUAUGAGCAAGUAAGCGGAGCAGACCCUGCUCUUUCCUCCUCCCCCGCUGACAGGGUUGUUUUGUCGUCGGAGUCCUUAUGAAAGCCUUCGCGGCCUGGCCUUGUGCCGGGAUGUGCGAGCAGCAGCCCUGCUGAUGGCACUGGAGGCAGAAGUGACAGCGAACGACCGCAGCAGAAUGUUUCCUAAAUCAAAGCCUUUAAAAAGCAUAUGGGGUACAAGCAACGAGGAGCCGGAGUGUGAGAGCACGACGCCCUUGCGCUGUGUUUAUGGCAUUCUGAUAGUAGGGUUGCCGUAUUCCUUACAGACAGUAAGGCACCUGAGAAAAUGUUGAGCACAUAACAUGGUGACAUCUUAAAGCUGUCAUCCUAAAGGACCCUUUCCCCGGGGCAGAGGACAAGACUCCAAAAUGUGUUUCAGCACCACCACCACCUGCCCCCUAUACAUCCUGCAAAAUCCUCCAAACUGUGGAGAGGAUGGACUUUACUCCCAUCAUUAGGUUACAUUAGAAGGCACAGCUGGCCUUAAAAUAAGAAGAAUAACUAGGUGGGUAGGACCUAAUCCUAAAAGCCCCUUAAAAAAAGAGCGUCCUCUAGCUGCUGACCGAAGGGGAAGUCAGGGAUCUCAAGCAGAAGUAUUCAAGGCACCACUGAUGACUUGAAGAGGGAGGAGGCCACUUAUCAAGAAAUUUGGCGGCUUCUAGGAGAAGCAGCUCUGGGGACUACCAGAAACGAAAAAGGGAUCAGUCCUAUAACCACAAGGAACUGACAACAAGAAUGGGCUUGGAAAUGGAUUCUUCCCCAGAGCCUCCAGAUGAGAGCGUAGGCGAGUUAACACCUUGAUUUUAGCCUUGGGAUCCUCUGAGCGAGAACCCAGCCUCUCCAUACCGGAUUCAAACCGUGACUUGUGAGAUACUAAGCUGCUAAGUUUGUAGGGAAUCUGAAUGCAACAAGAGGAAACAAAUACAGAUCAAUGAAGAAUAUGUGGUUCAGAUUUAGGACUUAAUCUUUCGUGCUUCCCACCUUAUUUCCUUUUCGUUUCACAUUACCUUCUUCAUCUUUUUUUUUUUUUUUGGCCAAUUUACUAUCUUGAUUACUAGGAACCAGAGAGAAUUUGACUGUACCUAAGUGCUAAUAAAAUAAAAUAAAAUAUAAGAAAAAUGUAAAGUCUGUACCUGCUUCUGCCACUUAGUUUGUGUGGCUUUGGGAAAGUUGUUUAGCCUCCUUAUACCUCAGUUUCGCAUCUAUAAAUAACGUUUAUAAGGCUUACUUGCUGCACUGAAGUUAGACUCAAGUCACAUGAUGUAUGCGUGCUUCAUACGUGCUUUAUGAAGUAUAAAGCUGUAUAUAAAUAUAAGCAACUAUGGGUUUGAAGCCAGAACCACCGGCAGGGUACCUGGGGCAGCCAGGUGAGCCAGCAGAGGUGAAAGUCCCAGCUAGAAUAUCGAGGAACCUAAGAGAGAGGAGAAAAUUAAUAAGAAGAGCCCUUGGAGAAAGCACUGGGGAGCAGUUGCAAGGACUCUUUCUCCUCUUGACUGUGCUUUCAGUCUAAAGACUGAAAAUAAAAAAAAAGCAGACUGGGAAGCGCGCGAGACGAAUUCUCAGUAUCACCAACCCCAGGGUUUAAAAUCCUAGAUGAGGAAAGAAGUAAUAUGACCUCCAGAAUGGCCAACCAAAUCGUUUUAGAAAGCUAAAGACAAAAGGAAGCCUGCCACACUGCUGCAGCGAGGACAUUGGGUAAUGAGGACAAUUAGACAGAACAAAUGAAUGAAAUCAAACACCUCCAAGGCAGAGGAGAAGCAGAAGGAAAUUUCUUUUGGGGAAAUGUUAUCAUUGGCUAAAGACAGAACACGCCUGUGCUUCACAGUGGUGUGGGAACAGUCUCGGGCGGUAAAGAGAUGGUUGGAAAGGAAGGCUACAGGCCCUGUGGCAGCAUAUGGAAAUUCAAUCUAUAACAAAGAAAAUCAGACAAGAGAUGGGUGAUAAGCACGCCCAUGAAGGACAAAAAGACAGAUGUAAAAAUCUGAUGAGUUCUCCAACUUCUGACAGCAUCCAAAUUAGCACAGUGUUUAUUAUGGAUCAGAUUAAAUAGCUACACAGAGAAAUACUUGGGAGAAGAUUCGGAAAAGGAAGAACCAGCACCAAUGCUAUAUUUACUCAACAAUAACAACAAAGUGUUUUGUUUCCUGCCUCUUCCAUUGUUUCUCGACAAGGAAGCUGCAUUUUAAAAACAUGAACCCAGUAGCUGAAAGAUGGACACAACCCAGUCUCUGUCAACAGAUAAAUGGAUAAACAAAACGUGGCGUGCGAUACAAUGGAAUAUUAUCCCGCCGUAGAGAGGAAUGCAGUUGUGCCACAUGCUACAACACAGAUGAACCCUGCAGACGUUGUGGCCUUGAAGGAAGCACGGCAUCACAUUUUCUCAGCCUGUGGAGAUGCUUUAACAAGUAGCCAGCUGGGAUGUAAAGGCAGCUGCUCUUAUUUAAGAACAAUAUGAGAACCAACUGCCUGAAUGGCUCUUCUGUGACAUAAAAGCAAGAAAGAGAGAACACAAGCAAGGGGAGUAGCAGGCAGAGAAAUGGGGAGAAGGAGGCUCUCCACUGAGCCGGAAGCCAGAGGUGGAGCUUGAUCUCUGGACCCUGGGAUCACAACCUGAGUCAAAGGCAGACACUUAACCGACUGAGCCACCCAGGUGCCCCCAUACAUAUUUUUAUAUAGACACAUACUAGAUAUGCACAUGCAAAUAUAUCAGAUUCUAAAGUCAGACUGUCUAGGUUGGAAUCCUAGGUUCACCCUCCCUCAGCUAUAUGUUCUUGGGCCAGUAUUUAUCAUCUCCUUCUCAGGUUCAUCAUCUCAAAAUGACAGGUAAAAACACUCCCAACAAAUGUUGCUUUGAGGAUGAAUGAGACAGUUAUGAUAUGGCAAGCUCUCAAUAAAUACCAGCUUUUACUCUUAUAACUCCCUUUUACUCAUUUAUGAUAGCAAUAUUCCUGAUAAUAAUUGCAAGUCCAGGAUCCAGAAUUUGAACAAUAGGCUUAAAUGUUUGAAGGCAGAUGGGGUAUCUUCCCUCAGUGCUAAAGACUGAAGAGUCCUUCAUUGUACUUCCUGUAAAUAGUACCUACCUCAAACUCCAGCGAUCUGGAACAAAUGAAGAUCUUUAACAGGCACAGCUGGCUAGGACAGAAGCAGCUAUGAUUAGGGAAGAGGGGCUCAAGGCUUACUAACUCAGAGCAGCCCCCUUCCUUCUGCAGGUCACUCAAAUACACAAGGAUCAGGGUAGAGGGAAAAAUACCUCUCUUUUUUGCUUCCAAAACAAUAGCUGCAUGAAAGCUUGUUCUGCUGUUUCCUCCAAGCUCACCCUUGGGUAGGAUCCUCCACUCAAUGGCCAGCCUUCUCAGCAUAUGUGGUCAGAGAGGAGGGGCCCUAGCAAGACACCAGCCUGGGAUGAUGAGCUCCUGUGCUGAGCAAGCCUCACACCCUGGCAGUCAAGGAUGGGGUCACGGGUUGGGGUGGGGGAUGUUGACAAGGACUUCUGCUACCUUACAAACCCAGCCUCAGCUCUUGAACAUCACCUUGGUCCCCGCCCCCCACACCCUCCCAACAGCAAAUGGACAACAGCUCCAAAUUCUUUUGGCUCAAAAUCAUCGGCAAUCAGAUGACACAGGGGAAAAAACAAACAAGUGUGUCGUUUAUUGUGUUUUAUUGUGUUAAACGGUUUACAUGGGAUAGCCUAUUUAAUGUAAUAUGUAAUAAAAAAUAUAGAACUUGUGAAAGCUAGGUUUAUGAAAGUUGAGUGGUUUGUUUUGUUCUUAAUUUAUAUUGUUAUUUCAUUAUAUCCUUAUUUAGAAGAGCCACAUAAAGUACACUGUAAUUGUAUUUUUAAAAUAUCUGUUCAUGUGGGGUUUUAAGUGAAUGGAAUCAAAAUCCCUUGGUUGAGGGAUUUUAGAUUCAGCUAGGAGUCUGCAAGGGCUAGUUGCCACAUAAUCUGAGACUGCACUGUCCAGUACAGUGACCACUAGCAACCUGUAGCCACUGAGCGCUCAUGGUAAUAAUUUACAUUUAAAAAACUGAAGUAGUGUAAAAUAUUCUUCUAAUAACACAAUUUGAUCAUUUUGGUAGGACCAUACUUCACUUCAAGAUUUCUCUUGCAUGAUGGUGUAUGUGUUGAGCAUGUGUGCUGUUUCUAGUAUUACUUGUAAGCAUUCCGCUAAUCCAGUUGAUGGCCACCUAUUGAUUCAAUUCAAAUUAUUUUUUUCUAAACACCAGUGUAACGUUCUGAUGUGUUUAUUUGAAUAUUUUAGGAAGACAGUGCAAGUCACAGUGAUACCCAUAAAUCAUAAUUGGUAAAUUAAAUGGCAUAUAUUGUUUUAAUUGUACCGCAAUUCAAAAUGAAGGCAUACUACUGAUGCUAAAUUGCUUACAGGUCCUGGAGCUAGUACUGUCAUGGAAAAGAUAUGUAAGUAAACGUCACAAUGAAUGGCAAUUAGAAUUUGCUGAAGUGGUGCAAAAUGAAAAAGUUGAUUUUUGUAUAAAAUUUUUAAAAAAGAUAAUAAAGUGUGCAAUGGUAAGAGGCAUUUUUACCAAACACAUAAGGCAUUUGAUAAAUUUCCUCACAAUAUUCAGAAGAUUGUUGAAAUUAUUCUUCAAAGUAGAAUCAAAUAUCUAAGAAAAAAAAUUUCCCCUUAUAGAUCAUCUAUUUUCUUCCUCUGAGGUUUUUAAUUUGGGGGGCCCUGGGUGGCUCAGUUGGUUAAGUGUCCAGCUCUUGAUUUUGGCUUAGGUCAUGGUCUCAGGGUCAUGGGAUCAAGCCCACAUCGGGCUCUGUGCUUUGGUGGAAUCUGCUUGAGAUUUUCUCUCUCCCUCUCCUUCUGCCCCUCCCCUUGCUCACACUCUAUAAAUAAAUACAUCUUUAAAGUUUUUUUUUUUAAAGAUUUUCUUUAUUUAUUCAUGAGAGACACACAGAGAGAGAGGCAGAGACACAGGCAGAGGGAGAAGCAAGCUCCAUGCAGGGAGCCCAAUGUGGCACUCGAUCCCGGGACUCCAGGAUCACACCCUGGGCCGAAGGCAGACGCUGUACUGCUGAGCCACCCAGGCUGCCCAAAUCUUCAAAGUUUCUAAUUUUGUUUCUAUUUGAUGAAUUCGACAUGUUACAAUUUAUAAAUUUAAGGUAUGUAGUAUGUUUCUUUGAUAAUUUUAUGUGUUGUAAUAGGAUUGCCAUUGAGGCAACAUUUAUCACACUAUGACUUAUUCACCAUUUGUCAUAAGUUCAUACUCUUAAACACCAUCAGUCUAUCUCCCCAAUCCCCAUCUCCUGCCAACCACCAUUUUGCUUCUCUGUUUUGUUUUGUUUUGUUUUUACAGGUUUGACUUGUUUAGAUUCCUCAAAUCUUUUUUUCUUUUUUGCAGCUUCACUGAGGCAUAAUUGAAAUUUUAAAAACAGCGCAUACUUAAUGUAUACAAUUUGAUGAGGUUGAAUGUAUGUAGACACCUGUGAUAUCAUCACUACAACAUGUAAUAAACAUAUUAUCACCUCCAAAAGUUUUCCCACAUCCCUUUGCUCUGUGUGUGUAUGUGUUAAAAACACUUAACAUGGGAUCUACCCUCCUAACAAUUUAAGUGCACAGUACUAUAUUGUUAAGUAUAGGCACAAUGUUGUACAACAGACCUCUAGAACUUACUUAAUCUGUUAUAACUACAUUUAUACCCAUUGAACAAUUCCUCAUUUUCUUCUCUCCCCACCCACCAACAACCAACUUCCUACUUUCUGCUUCUUAAGUUUUCUGCUUUCUUAACUGGUUUAAUACCUCAUGUAAGUGGAAUCAUGCAGCAUGAUUCCUUUCUGUGACUGAUGCAUUCAUUUCACUUAGCAUGAUGUCUUCCAGGUCAAUCUAUGUUGUCACAAAAUUUUAAGACUUUUAAAUAGGAUCUCAUAUACCUUGUCAGUUUGGCCAGGUAUAAAAUUGCUCUGAUUCUCACGUACAUACACACAUAUGCAUUCAUUUUUAGAUGGACAUGAAAAAGAAAGUAUUUCAGUUACAGAUAUUUUAUUAGAAAAUCAUGAGGAAAAUACUAAAAAAAAAAAAAGCCGUUUCUCAAAAAGAACUUCAGUUAAGCCACCAAACAAUUGCUUAUAAAAUACAAGACCUUUUUUAGGAAUGCCUGGAUGUCUCAGUGGUUGAGCAUCUGCCUUUGGCUCAGUGUGUGAUCCCGGGGUCCCAGGAAUGAGUCCCACAUCAGGCUCCCUACAUGGAACCUCCUUCUCCCUUUGUCUGUCUCUCUCUCUCUGUGUCUCUCGUGAAUAAAUAAAGUCUUUAUAAAAAUAAAAUAAAAUAC